CGUGGGUAACCUGCCCAAGAGAUCGGGAUAACACCUGGAAACAGAUGCUAAUACCGGAUAACAACAGAUGAUGCCUAUCAACUGUUUAAAAGAUGGUUCUGCUAUCACUCUUGGAUGGACCUGCGGUGCAUUAGCUAGUUGGUAGGGUAACGGCCUACCAAGGCGAUGAUGCAUAGCCUAGUUGAGAGACUGAUCGGCCACAUUGGGACUGAGACACGGCCCAAACUCCUACGGGAGGCAGCAGGU
RNAcentral lists this ribosomal RNA (246 nucleotides) under uncultured Lactobacillus sp. RNAcentral's name for it is "partial 16S ribosomal RNA". It matches the Rfam family "Bacterial small subunit ribosomal RNA", at positions 116 to 354 of the family's 1533-position model. Lineage: Bacteria; Bacillati; Bacillota; Bacilli; Lactobacillales; Lactobacillaceae. The record is from RNAcentral.